This 386-nucleotide ribosomal RNA is filed under the name uncultured bacterium. RNAcentral's name for it is "bacterial SSU rRNA". It matches the Rfam family "Bacterial small subunit ribosomal RNA", at positions 29 to 416 of the family's 1533-position model. The record is from RNAcentral.
AUUAAACGCUGGCGGCAUGCCUUACACAUGCAAGUCGAACGGCAGCACGGGGGCAACCCUGGUGGCGAGUGGCGGACGGGUGAGUAAUACAUCGGAACGUGCCCUGGAGUGGGGGAUAACGCAGCGAAAGCUACGCUAAUACCGCAUAUUCUGUGAGCAGGAAAGCAGGGGAUCGCAGGACCUUGCGCUUUGGGAGCGGCCGAUGUCGGAUUAGCUAGUUGGUGGGGUAAAGGCCUACCAAGGCGACGAUCCGUAGCGGGUCUGAGAGGAUGAUCCGCCACACUGGAACUGAGACACGGUCCAGACUCCUACGGGAGGCAGCAGUGGGGAAUUUUGGACAAUGGGCGCAAGCCUGAUCCAGCCAUGCCGCGUGAGUGAAGAAGGCC